RNAcentral lists this ribosomal RNA (253 nucleotides) under uncultured bacterium. RNAcentral's name for it is "partial 16S ribosomal RNA". It matches the Rfam family "Bacterial small subunit ribosomal RNA", at positions 524 to 776 of the family's 1533-position model. The record is from RNAcentral.
UACGUAGGGUGCGAGCGUUAAUCGGAAUUACUGGGCGUAAAGCGUGCGUAGACGGCUAUCUAAGUCGGGUGUGAAAGCCCCGGGCUCAACCUGGGAAUUGCAUUCGAGACUGAAUAGCUAGGGUACGGUAGAGGGAAGUGGAAUUUCCGGUGUAGCGGUGAAAUGCGUAGAUAUCGGAAGGAACAUCAGUGGCGAAAGCGACUUCCUGGACCAGUACCGACGUUCAGGCACGAAAGCGUGGGGAGCAAACAGG